RNAcentral lists this ribosomal RNA (372 nucleotides) under uncultured organism. RNAcentral describes it as "bacterial SSU rRNA". It matches the Rfam family "Bacterial small subunit ribosomal RNA", at positions 526 to 896 of the family's 1533-position model. The record is from RNAcentral.
CAGAGGGGGCAAGCGUUAUUCGGAAUUAUUGGGCGUAAAGGGCGCGUAGGCGGCUUUGCAAGUGACGGGUGAAAGCCCUCGGCUUAACCGAGGAACUGCCUGUCAGACUGUGAGGCUCGAGACCGGGAGAGGUGAGUGGAAUUCCCAGUGUAGCGGUGAAAUGCGUAGAUAUUGGGAGGAACGCCAGUGGCGAAGGCGGCUCACUGGACCGGAACUGACGCUGAUGCGCGAAAGCGUGGGGAGCAAACAGGAUUAGAUACCCCGGUAGUCCACGCCGUAAACGAUGAGUGCUUGGUGUAGCGGGUAUCGACCCCUGCUGUGCCGAAGUCAACACAUUAAGCACUCCGCCUGGGGAGUACGGUCGCAAGACUG